This 73-nucleotide transfer RNA is filed under the name Candidatus Woesearchaeota archaeon. Its description in RNAcentral is "tRNA-Phe". It matches the Rfam family "tRNA". Rfam says of the family: Transfer RNA (tRNA) molecules are approximately 80 nucleotides in length. Lineage: Archaea; Nanobdellati; Candidatus Woesearchaeota. The record is from RNAcentral.
GGGCUUGUAACUCAGCUUGGAUAGAGUGCCAGAUAAAAGCUGGAAGUCGCCGGUUCAAAUCCGGCCAGGCCCG